UACGUAGGUGGCAAGCGUUGUCCGGAAUUAUUGGGCGUAAAGCGCGCGCAGGCGGCCUCUUAAGUCUGAUGUGAAAAGCCCCCCGGCUCAACCCGGGGGAGGGCCAUUGGAAACUGGGAGGCUUGAGUAUAGGAGAGAAGAGUGGAAUUCCACGUGUAGCGGUGAAAUGCGUAGAGAUGUGGGAGGAACACCAGUGGCGAAGGCGACUCUUUGGCCUAUAACUGACGCUGAGGCGCGAAAGCGUGGGGAGCAAACAGG
RNAcentral lists this ribosomal RNA (258 nucleotides) under uncultured bacterium. Its description in RNAcentral is "partial 16S ribosomal RNA". It matches the Rfam family "Bacterial small subunit ribosomal RNA", at positions 524 to 776 of the family's 1533-position model. The record is from RNAcentral.